AUUGUUCAUAUCACUGCAAAAAUAUUACUGGAGCAGGUUCAAGCUUUAUGGAAGGUCAAAAAUGAGAAUAUUUCAAAUUUGUAUAAAGAGGGGAAGAAACGACCGUCUUGAGGAACCUAAACAAGGAAGCAGAUCUCAAGCAAACUAGGUGGUCAACCUUGCUGAUGAUGAAAUCCUAGAGGUAUAUAAAACAUAAUCCAGAU
Long non-coding RNA from Morus notabilis, 203 nucleotides. RefSeq lists it as uncharacterized. Lineage: Eukaryota; Viridiplantae; Streptophyta; Magnoliopsida; Rosales; Moraceae. The record is from RefSeq and is a predicted model, not a curated record. The transcript is spliced from 3 exons.